CCUACGGGAGGCAGCAGUAGGGAAUAUUGCUCAAUGGGGGAAACCCUGAAGCAGCAACGCCGCGUGGAGGAUGAAGGUUUUCGGAUUGUAAACUCCUUUUGUUAGAGAAGAUAAUGACGGUAUCUAACGAAUAAGCACCGGCUAACUACGUGCCAGUAGCCGCGGUAAUACGGAGGGUGCAAGCGUUACUCGGAAUUACUGGGCGUAAAGGGCGCGUAGGCGGGAUAGCAAGUCAGAUGUGAAAUGCUAUGGCUUAACCAUAGAACUGCAUUUGAAACUGUUAUUCUAGAGUAUGGGAGAGGUAAGUGGAAUUCUUGGUGUAGGGGUAAAAUCCGUAGAGAUCAAGAGGAAUACUCAUGGCGAAGGCGACCUGCUAGAACAUAACUGACGCUGAUGCGCGAAAGCGUGGGGAGCAAACAGGAUUAGAUACCUGUGUAGUC
This 440-nucleotide ribosomal RNA is filed under the name uncultured bacterium. Its description in RNAcentral is "partial 16S ribosomal RNA". It matches the Rfam family "Bacterial small subunit ribosomal RNA", at positions 338 to 795 of the family's 1533-position model. The record is from RNAcentral.